UAGGGAAUCUUCCGCAAUGGGCGAAAGCUUGACGGAGCAACGCCGCGUGAGUGAUGAAGGUCUUCGGAUCGUAAAACUCUGUUAUUAGGGAAGAACAAAUGUGUAAGUAACUAUGCACGUCUUGACGGUACCUAAUCAGAAAGCCACGGCUAACUACGUGCCAGCAGCCGCGGUAAUACGUAGGUGGCAAGCGUUAUCCGGAAUUAUUGGGCGUAAAGCGCGCGUAGGCGGUUUUUUAAGUCUGAUGAGAAAGCCCACGGCUCAACCGUGGAGGGUCAUUGGAAACUGGAAAACUUGAGUGCAGAAGAGGAAAGUGGAAUUCCAUGUGUAGCGGUGAAAUGCGCAGAGAUAUGGAGGAACACCAGUGGCGAAGGCGACUUUCUGGUCUGUAACUGACGCUGAUGUGCGAAAGCGUGGGGAUCAAACAGG
This 429-nucleotide ribosomal RNA is filed under the name Actinomycetes bacterium. Its description in RNAcentral is "Actinobacteria bacterium partial 16S ribosomal RNA". It matches the Rfam family "Bacterial small subunit ribosomal RNA", at positions 355 to 776 of the family's 1533-position model. Lineage: Bacteria; Bacillati; Actinomycetota; Actinomycetes. The record is from RNAcentral.